CAGCUACGGCCACAGUACGCGCGCGAGCGGCAAUAUCGGCUAUCAGUUCUCGCCGGAUUUCGAGACGCGCUUCUACAUUGAUGCCAACGAUGUGCGGCAGCGCAUCCCGGGCUCGGUGACGAGAGCCUCCGCACUCACCUCACCGGAAACGGCAGCGGCUGUGAACGUGGCCAACGAUUGGCAGCGCAAUAUCGAUACCGUGCGUCUGGCUAACAAGACGACGGUCCGGUUCGGUGCCACCACGGUUGAGUUCGGAGCCU
This 260-nucleotide unclassified non-coding RNA is filed under the name Hevea brasiliensis (rubber tree). The record is from RNAcentral. Lineage: Eukaryota; Viridiplantae; Streptophyta; Magnoliopsida; Malpighiales; Euphorbiaceae.